UUUCCGUAGGUGAACCUGCGGAAGGAUCAUUCAUAAUAAGUGUUUUAUGGCACUUUUUUAAAUCCAUAUCCACCUUGUGUGCAAUGUCAGGGUUGGUCUCUUUUUGAUCAGCCCCAAACAUCAACUAUUAUCUCAACUCUUUGUCUGAAAAAUAUUAUGAAUAAAACAAUUCAAAAUACAACUUUCAACAACGGAUCUCUUGGCUCUC
RNAcentral lists this unclassified non-coding RNA (208 nucleotides) under plant metagenome. RNAcentral describes it as "partial contains small subunit ribosomal RNA, internal transcribed spacer 1, and 5.8S ribosomal RNA". The record is from RNAcentral.